UAGUGCAAUUUGUUGUAGCUUG
RNAcentral lists this microRNA (22 nucleotides) under Ciona intestinalis (vase tunicate). RNAcentral describes it as "cin-miR-4220-5p". The record is from miRBase by way of RNAcentral. Lineage: Eukaryota; Metazoa; Chordata; Ascidiacea; Phlebobranchia; Cionidae.